Molecule: long non-coding RNA, 673 nt
Filed under: Chloebia gouldiae (Gouldian finch)
Lineage: Eukaryota; Metazoa; Chordata; Aves; Passeriformes; Passeridae
Description: Erythrura gouldiae (Gouldian finch) lncRNA (ENSEGOG00005006914.1)
Source: RNAcentral
AUGAAUUUGGUAACUUGAACCGGAAAUUUAAAGAUAAAAGCCAAGAACUUAAGGUAUAUUGACUUGUACAGAGUUUCAUAAGACUGUAGCUUUGAAGUAGUUCUUUAAGCAGUGUCAGCCUUUGUGGCACAGAAAGUGACAAGCUUGGAGAAAAAAUUGCCUUAGGCCUUGCUAUACCUUACUGCUUUCUCACAUUCCAACAGAGAAAGAUGCUUUAAAGCCAAGAAUCCAAGCUUUAUAACUUUCAGAUAAAUAGUUAAUGAUGGAANNNNNNNNNNGCUGACCUGCUAAGUGACCUGGAGAAACUGAGGAAGCAGGAGGCACAAUGGAAAAAAGAAAAAUCUGGCAAUGAUACCAGAAUAAAGGAACCACCUGUGAAACGUUCAAGGUCUCUGUCCCUGAAGAGCUCUUUUAGAGAGUCAGAGGAACUAAGGAAGCUUAAAAUAGCUGAGAGGAAGAUUGAAAACUUAGAGAAGACACUACAGCUAAAGAACCACUUUUUAAACUUAGUGAAGAUGAUGGGGUCAAGGGUCAUACUCCAAAGAGGUAUAUGAGAGAAGUUUCACAUGAGGUGUUACAGAAGGUACAACAACUAGAAAGAAGAUUCAAAGCUAUUGAAGGAGAAUUGAAGAAACAGAAAAAAGUAAAUAAAGACUUACUGAAUGAGAAAAUG